UCUGAACUUCAUACUUAAAUUACUCCGUUUCAUCACAAAAUCAUAUAUACUAAUAGAAAUUUUCAUUCCACCUACCAGUUAAUUGUUACUCAAAGUCGAUGUUGGACAAAUAACUAAACACAUAGCUAACAAUAUCCUAACACAUUACGAAAAACAGACAACAUAAACAGCAAGUAUAUAACAUCAUAACUCCUAUACUUCCUUGCUACCUCCAUCUCCCUGAGAUGACACGGGAGCCAGAUUGGCAAGAGCCUCCUUGAAUUCCUUCAAUUUGUUGUAGCAGGACUUUUGAGCAACUUCCAAAGAUUGUGCAGUUUCUAGAUAGGAAGAGAGUCGCUUAUUCGAGUCUUUGAAAUCCUUCCUAACCUCAUUCAUAUGCUUUUUGCGUUUCUCUUGUAGCUUUUGACUUUCCACAAUUAUAUAGACCGAUCCGGCUAUAGCUACCAGCGGACAAAGAUUCCAUAGGUACGAGUACGACUAGAAGAAUUUGAGAAAAUAAAACACAAAUAAAUAGAUACCAAUCU
This 524-nucleotide long non-coding RNA is filed under the name Daucus carota (carrot). RNAcentral describes it as "long non-coding RNA (DCAR_LNC007169)". The record is from RNAcentral. Lineage: Eukaryota; Viridiplantae; Streptophyta; Magnoliopsida; Apiales; Apiaceae.